This 764-nucleotide long non-coding RNA is filed under the name Pan troglodytes (chimpanzee). RNAcentral describes it as "long non-coding RNA NONPTRT003370". Lineage: Eukaryota; Metazoa; Chordata; Mammalia; Primates; Hominidae. The record is from RNAcentral.
UUUUUGUAUCAGAGUUGAAUCAAGAUGUUUAAGUCUCUGGAGAGUUAAGUAUUUUGUAGGAGGAAGAAUAUCAAGGUUGUGAAAAAAAAAAAAAAAAAAAACCUUGUUGUGGCUGAGAAACUGGGCUGGAGUCAGGAGGCUGGUGAUGGCCCCAGUUCUACCACUAACUAGCCAUGUGCCUACGAUGCUUCAUUUCACCUCUUGAGAUCUAAAUUUCCCCGUACGUCAAAGCAAAGAGACAGAUCUCGCUUUGUCGCCUGUCAAUGGCUAGAGUGCAGUAGCGUGAUCAUAACUUACUGCAGCCUCGAACUCCUGAGCUCAAGCAACCCUCCCUCCUCAGCCUUCCCAGAUCUCCUGAUUUCAAGUACAGUUCUUGCCAACACACAGUGGUAAAGGGUACGAUUACCUAAGGCUUAGCACAGAAGGUAGCACCCCUCACUGGUGAGCUAUCAUGAAACUAUGCGACAAUUUUCUCCAUCUUUUUUAGAGUUGUUUUCCUUGUCUUCCUCCUCAUCACGAUUAUUAUUGCUUUUUCAUUCAGCAAAAAAUCUGGUAGGAGACUGCACAGAAGCAUGCUCACUUGCUAUCAACAGUGUAACCCUACCUAACUUCCCUAAUCCCUAGCAAAUGAAGGAAAAAUCAUAUACAGGCACUGACAAAUAGCAACACAAGAAAGGGCAACAAAAUUACUAAAGAGUAACGCCAUCCUCCCCAACUCAAACCAGGGAAAGUAAGCUUGCCUAGGAACUUAGGCUGAAACUCAC